RNAcentral lists this transfer RNA (88 nucleotides) under Candidatus Omnitrophota bacterium. Its description in RNAcentral is "tRNA-Ser". It matches the Rfam family "tRNA". From Rfam's summary of the family: Transfer RNA (tRNA) molecules are approximately 80 nucleotides in length. Their secondary structure includes four short double-helical elements and three loops (D, anti-codon, and T loops). The record is from RNAcentral. Lineage: Bacteria; Pseudomonadati; Candidatus Omnitrophota.
GGAGAGGUGCGAGAGUGGUUUAAUCGGUGCGCCUGGAGAGCGCAUGGCCGCCAAAAGUGGCCCCUGGGUUCGAAUCCCAGCCUCUCCG